GGAGGGACUAGCCGACCGGCGACGGCACCCGUCUCGAAAACGGGCGAGCGACGAGUCUUGGGGGUUCAACUCCCCCUCCUUCCGC
This 85-nucleotide transfer RNA is filed under the name Gemmata sp. SH-PL17. Its description in RNAcentral is "tRNA-Ser". It matches the Rfam family "tRNA". Rfam says of the family: Transfer RNA (tRNA) molecules are approximately 80 nucleotides in length. Their secondary structure includes four short double-helical elements and three loops (D, anti-codon, and T loops). Lineage: Bacteria; Pseudomonadati; Planctomycetota; Planctomycetia; Gemmatales; Gemmataceae. The record is from RNAcentral.